GAAUCAGUGUGUGUGUUAGUGGAAGCGUCUGGAAAGGCGCGCGAUACAGGGUGACAGCCCCGUACACAAAAAUGCACAUGCUGUGAGCUCGAUGAGUAGGGCGGGACACGUGGUAUCCUGUCUGAAUAUGGGGGGACCAUCCUCCAAGGCUAAAUACUCCUGACUGACCGAUAGUGAACCAGUACCGUGAGGGAAAGGCGAAAAGAACCCCGGCGAGGGGAGUGAAAAAGAACCUGAAACCGUGUACGUACAAGCAGUGGGAGCACAGAGCAAUCUGUGUGACUGCGUACCUUUUGUAUAAUGGGUCAGCGACUUAUAUUCUGUAGCAAGGUUAACCGAAUAGGGGAGCCGAAGGGAAACCGAGUCUUAACUGGGCGUUAAGUUGCAGGGUAUAGACCCGAAACCCGGUGAUCUAGCCAUGGGCAGGUUGAAGGUUGGGUAACACUAACUGGAGGACCGAACCGACUAAUGUUGAAAAAUUAGCGGAUGACUUGUGGCUGGGGGUGAAAGGCCAAUCAAACCGGGAGAUAGCUGGUUCUCCCCGAAAGCUAUUUAGGUAGCGCCUCGUGAAUUCAUC
Molecule: ribosomal RNA, 577 nt
Filed under: Escherichia coli
Lineage: Bacteria; Pseudomonadati; Pseudomonadota; Gammaproteobacteria; Enterobacterales; Enterobacteriaceae
Description: partial 23S ribosomal RNA
Rfam family: Bacterial large subunit ribosomal RNA
Source: RNAcentral